ACAACUACUCGUAGACUCCUACGGGAGGCAGCAGUGGGAAUUUUGGACAAGUGGGGCAACCCUGAUCCAGCCAUGCCGCGUGAGUGAAGAAGGCCUUCGGUUGUAAAGCUCUUUCGGCGGGGAAGAAAUGGCAACGGCUAAUAUCCGUUGUUGAUGACGGUACCCGCAUAAGAAGCACCGGCUAACUACGUGCCAGCAGCCGCGGUAAUACGUAGGGUGCGAGCGUUAAUCGGAAUUACUGGGCGUAAAGCGUGCGCAGGCGGUUUCGUAAGACAGACGUGAAAUCCCCGGGCUCAACCUGGGAACUGCGUUUGUGACUGCGAGGCUAGAGUACGGCAGAGGGGGGUAGAAUUCCACGUGUAGCAGUGAAAUGCGUAGAGAUGUAGAGGAAUACCGAUGGCGAAGGCAGCCCCCUGGGUUAGUACUGACGCUCAUGCACGAAAGCGUGGGGAGCAAACAGGAUUAGAUACCCUGGUAG
Molecule: ribosomal RNA, 478 nt
Filed under: uncultured bacterium
Lineage: Bacteria
Description: bacterial SSU rRNA
Rfam family: Bacterial small subunit ribosomal RNA
Source: RNAcentral